This 253-nucleotide ribosomal RNA is filed under the name uncultured bacterium. RNAcentral's name for it is "partial 16S ribosomal RNA". It matches the Rfam family "Bacterial small subunit ribosomal RNA", at positions 524 to 776 of the family's 1533-position model. The record is from RNAcentral.
UACGAGGGGGGCAAAUGUUGUUCGGAAUCACUGGGCGUAAAGGGAGCGUAGGCGGGUUCUUAAGUAAGGUGUUUAAUCCCGGGGCCCAACCCCGGACCGGCACUUUAAACUGGGAAUCUUGAAUAGUGGAGAGGUCAGUGGAAUUGGGGGUGUAGCGGUGGAAUGCGUAGAGAUCCCCAAGAACACCAGUUGCGAAGGCGGCUGACUGGACACAUAUUGACGCUGAGGCUCGAAAGCAUGGGGAGCAAACAGG